Molecule: long non-coding RNA, 433 nt
Organism: Solanum tuberosum (potato)
Lineage: Eukaryota; Viridiplantae; Streptophyta; Magnoliopsida; Solanales; Solanaceae
Exons: 2
Source: RefSeq, a predicted model, not a curated record
GGGAAACAUGAGCAAAUGAACUUCUUAAAUAACAAAGUGGAGGCAAGUGGUUAGGGUGUGUGUACAAACUCUUACUGGUGAUAAGAUUCGUCAGUUACGUUGGAAAACGCCAUUGUGAAAUGCGAAUGCAAUGACUGGAGAACACAAGUGCUUUCAUAGUGGUAUAAUUUGUUACUUUAUCUGUCAAUUGGCGUUUUGCUUAGUUUUCUUAUUUGUUUCAGUUUGUUUGAUGUUAAUACUUAAUAAUAUCUUAUAGAUGAUUCCAAAACAAAAAUGAAUGUUCUUUUUUCUAUCUAUAAUCUCUGAAAGGAAAAAAAUGUACUUUGUGUGCCAUGAGAGCACAUUUCCUUUCUAAAUGAUACUUAUGUAAUAACAUUAGCGGCUUCUGACUGUUUGCUUAUUGUAAUUUGCAAAUCAUUCUUGGUAUGCUGGA